UCUCUACUACAGAAAUCAUUGAGCUCUGAGUUGUAAAAUUCCAACCCAUUGUUGGUCCGAAGAUGCUUAACUUUCCUUUGUCUGUCUCUCAACCAUCGUCUUCCAUUUAACAAAUGUUCGCAAUGCCUCAUUUUUUUCUUUCAGAAAAUACAUUCAUACUAUUCUUGAGUAACCGUCAAUCAAAAACAUAAAAUGCGUGG
Molecule: long non-coding RNA, 200 nt
Filed under: Solanum tuberosum (potato)
Lineage: Eukaryota; Viridiplantae; Streptophyta; Magnoliopsida; Solanales; Solanaceae
Description: long non-coding RNA (STUB_LNC010742)
Source: RNAcentral